This 480-nucleotide ribosomal RNA is filed under the name uncultured bacterium. RNAcentral describes it as "partial 16S ribosomal RNA". It matches the Rfam family "Bacterial small subunit ribosomal RNA", at positions 28 to 523 of the family's 1533-position model. The record is from RNAcentral.
GACGAACGCUGGCGGCGUGCUUAACACAUGCAAGUCGAACGAUGAAGUUCCUUCGGGAAUGGAUUAGUGGCGAACGGGUGAGAAACACGUGAGAAACCUGCCUUUCAUUUUGGGAUAACUCCGGGAAACCGGAGCUAACACCGAAUACUCCGUCUCGGCGGCAUCGCUGAGCCGGGAAAAAAUUUUGAUGAAAGAUGGUCUCGCGGCCUAUCAGCUAGUUGGUGAGGUAAUGGCUCACCAAGGCGACGACGGGUAGCCGGCCGGAGAGGGCGACCGGCCACACUGGGACUGAGACACGGCCCAGACUCAUACGGGAGGCAGCAGUGGGGGAUAUUGGGCAACGGGCGCAAGCCUGACCCAGCGACGCCGCGUGAGGGAUGAAGGCCUUCGGGUUGUAAACCUCUUUCAGUAGGGAAGAAGCGAAAGUGACGGUACCUAAAGAAGAAGCACCGGCUAACUAUGUGCCAGCAGCCGCGGUAA